GACGGCUCCGUGUUCCUGAGCGAGCGCUGCGGGGAGGCGGCGCUGGAGCUGCAGAGGGAUUUCGUGUCCGUGCUCGACAUCGAUUUCCUGGAGCUGCUCCUGAGCCCCCGGCGGGGGGAGGACGGCGAGGGGGGGGCGGGCCCCCCCGAGGAGCUG
Non-coding RNA from Lonchura striata (white-rumped munia), 156 nucleotides. The record is from RefSeq and is a predicted model, not a curated record. NCBI's taxonomy places the organism in Eukaryota, Metazoa, Chordata, Aves, Passeriformes, Estrildidae.